AACGAACGCUGGCGGCAGGCCUAACACAUGCAAGUCGAGCGCUCUAGCAAUAGAGAGCGGCGCACGGGUGAGUAACGCGUAGGAAUCUACCUUGUAGUACGGAACAACAGUUGGAAACGACUGCUAAUACCGUAUACGCCCUUCGGGGGAAAGAAUUUCGCUAUAAGAUGAGCCUGCGUUAGAUUAGCUAGUUGGUGAGGUAAUGGCUAACCAAGGCUCCGAUCUAUAGCUGGUCUGAGAGGAUGAUCAGCCACACUGGGACUGAGACACGGCCCAGACUCCUACGGGAGGCAGCAGUGGGGAAUGUUGGGCAAUGAGCGAAAGCCUGACCCAGCCAUGCCGCGUGAGUGAUGACGGCCUUAGGGUUGUAAAGCUCUUUUAGUGGUGAGGAUGAUGACGGUAACCACAGAAAAAGCCCCGGCUAACUUCGUGCCAGCCGCCGCAGUAA
Molecule: ribosomal RNA, 448 nt
Filed under: uncultured bacterium
Lineage: Bacteria
Description: partial 16S ribosomal RNA
Rfam family: Bacterial small subunit ribosomal RNA
Source: RNAcentral